This 632-nucleotide small RNA is filed under the name uncultured fungus. RNAcentral describes it as "eukaryotic LSU rRNA". The stretch from base 228 to 381 matches the Rfam family "5.8S ribosomal RNA". The record is from RNAcentral. Lineage: Eukaryota; Fungi.
GGAAGGAUCAUUAUUGAAUAAACUUGAACGAGUUGUUGCUGGCUCCUAUAUGGGCAUGUGCACACUUGUCAUUUUUACCCCUCCACCUGUGCACAUAUUGUAGAUCGAUUGAGGAUUGCUGUGCUUUUUAUUCAAAAAGAGUCAGCUUUGUCUUGUAUCUUUAGAUCUAUUUAUUUAUUUUUCACAAUCUCUAAAAGUGUAUAGAAUGUUGAAUUUGGGAAAUAUACAACUUUCAGCAACGGAUCUCUUGGCUCUCGCAUCGAUGAAGAACGCAGCGAAAUGCGAUAAGUAAUGUGAAUUGCAGAAUUCAGUGAAUCAUCGAAUCUUUGAACGCAUCUUGCGCUCCUUAGUAUUCUGAGGAGCAUGCCUGUUUGAGUGUCAUUAAAUUCUCAACUACAUCUCUUUUUGAUGUGGCUUGGACAGUGGGGGUUAUAUUUGCAGGCUUUUGAAAAGAAGUUUGCUCCCCUGAAAUGAAUUAGUGGUAUCUAAGCAGAGACUACUACAGGUGUGAUAAUUAUUUUAUGCCUUGGUAUACUGCAUGCACUGCUUCUAAUGACUUUUGUUAUUGACCAAUUUGACCUCAAAUCAGGUAGGACUACCCGCUGAACUUAAGCAUAUCAAUAAGCGGAGGA